Molecule: long non-coding RNA, 687 nt
Organism: Gasterosteus aculeatus (three-spined stickleback)
Lineage: Eukaryota; Metazoa; Chordata; Actinopteri; Perciformes; Gasterosteidae
Source: Ensembl
AUGAUCAGUCAGUCUUCAUUCUCCUUCUCUCUUCUCUCCCUUCUUUUUUCUUCUUUAACUCCUACACCAAAUCCUUGUUCUUCAUUCUCCUCCUCCCCUCUGUGCUCCCUUCCUCCCACUCUGUUUCAGAUGUUUGAUGAGAAUUGGUUUAGUGGUUCUGGGCCCGAGGGUUCAGGUUUGGGCUCGGGGCUCUCUUAUGACCUCGGCUCUGGUUUCAGCUCUGGGUUCAGUCCCAAGUCCAGCUUUGCCUCUGGUUCUGGGCCUGACUUUGGGUCUGCUUGGGGUUCAGGCGAGGGUCCAUCAGGAAGGGAUGGGGAUCCAGGUCUACCUGGAGCAGUGGGAGCAAAGGGUAACCAAGGGUUAUCUGGGCCAACUGGGCCAAAGGGUGAAUGUGGGUCUGAAGGUAAAGCAGGGUCUCCAGGGUUACCAGGGCCCAGUGGUCCACCAGGGAAGAGAGGCCCAGCAGGUCCCCCGGGACCUCCUGGCCCGCCAGCAACCACGUUCUUUAUCGAGGAUAUGGAGGGAUCCGGGAAGAGUGACAUGAGAGUCAGAGGCCCACAGGUUUGUGCCAGAGAGUGUGUUUUUAAAUACAUGAUUUACAUUGUUUCAUUUAAAAUAUCAAAUCAUUUUAUUAUCAUUUUUUGUAGGGCCCCCCUGGCAUACCUGGCCCUCAGGGUGCCAAGGUAA